GGCGGUGUAGCUCAGCGGGCUAGAAGCGUACGGUUCAUACCCGGAGUCGGGGGUUCGAUCCCCCUCCGCCGCUACCC
This 77-nucleotide transfer RNA is filed under the name Paenibacillus polymyxa CR1. RNAcentral describes it as "tRNA-Met". It matches the Rfam family "tRNA". Rfam says of the family: Transfer RNA (tRNA) molecules are approximately 80 nucleotides in length. Their secondary structure includes four short double-helical elements and three loops (D, anti-codon, and T loops). Further hydrogen bonds mediate the characteristic L-shaped molecular structure. tRNAs have two regions of fundamental functional importance: the anti-codon, which is responsible for specific mRNA codon recognition, and the 3' end, to which the tRNAs corresponding amino acid is attached (by aminoacyl-tRNA synthetases). tRNAs cope with the degeneracy of the genetic code in two manners: having more than one tRNA (with a specific anti-codon) for a particular amino acid; and 'wobble' base-pairing, i.e. permitting non-standard base-pairing at the 3rd anti-codon position. The record is from RNAcentral. Lineage: Bacteria; Bacillati; Bacillota; Bacilli; Caryophanales; Paenibacillaceae.